Molecule: long non-coding RNA, 241 nt
Filed under: Carica papaya (papaya)
Lineage: Eukaryota; Viridiplantae; Streptophyta; Magnoliopsida; Brassicales; Caricaceae
Description: long non-coding RNA (CPAP_LNC001077)
Source: RNAcentral
UAAACACCCCUCUUCACACCAAACCCUAACCAUAGCCGCCAGACCCCUCCACCGGAAAAGAAGAGCCAGUCGUCAGAAAGGAUCUGAUCGCCGCCCACCGCUACGUUGGAGCCACUUCUGACCACCAAAAGAGGUAAAAUUUUCUCCAUAUGCUCAAAAUUCAAUUUUGAACACCCCCAUGGCAAAAUCGAAGCAAAAAGACCAGCGAAUGAGGCAGAAAUUGCGGGUAAAAUCUGACGGC